RNAcentral lists this ribosomal RNA (450 nucleotides) under uncultured bacterium. RNAcentral describes it as "bacterial SSU rRNA". It matches the Rfam family "Bacterial small subunit ribosomal RNA", at positions 29 to 526 of the family's 1533-position model. The record is from RNAcentral.
AACGAACGCUGGCGGCAGGCUUAACACAUGCAAGUCGAACGCCCCGCAAGGGGAGUGGCAGACGGGUGAGUAACGCGUGGGAAUCUACCCAACUCUACGGAAUAACUCAGGGAAACUUGUGCUAAUACCGUAUACGCCCUUCGGGGGAAAGAUUUAUCGGAGUUGGAUGAGCCCGCGUUGGAUUAGCUAGUUGGUGGGGUAAAGGCCUACCAAGGCGACGAUCCAUAGCUGGUCUGAGAGGAUGAUCAGCCACAUUGGGACUGAGACACGGCCCAAACUCCUACGGGAGGCAGCAGUGGGGAAUAUUGGACAAUGGGCGCAAGCCUGAUCCAGCCAUGCCGCGUGAGUGAUGAAGGCCUUAGGGUUGUAAAGCUCUUUCACCGGAGAAGAUAAUGACGGUAUCCGGAGAAGAAGCCCCGGCUAACUUCGUGCCAGCCGCCGCCGUAACAC